This 497-nucleotide ribosomal RNA is filed under the name uncultured bacterium. RNAcentral describes it as "partial 16S ribosomal RNA". It matches the Rfam family "Bacterial small subunit ribosomal RNA", at positions 28 to 507 of the family's 1533-position model. The record is from RNAcentral.
GAUGAACGCUGGCGGCGUGCCUAAUACAUGCAAGUCGAGCGAACGGACUAUAAUCUUUCUUCUCUGAUUUUAUCGUCUGACGGGUGAUUAACACGUUUAUAACCUACCUUUUUUUCUUGGAUCACUUCGUGAAUCCGUAGCUAAUACCGUAUGAUAUUUUGAUCCUCUUUGUUCAUUAGUGAUUUACGGUCUUGCUGUCUCUUAUCGAUGGUUCCGCGAUGCAUUAUCUAGUUGGUAAGGUAACGGCUUACCAAGGCAACGAUGCAUAGCCGACGUGAGAGGGUGAUCGGCCAAACUGGAACUGAGACAGGGACAAGACGACUACGGGAGGCAGCAGUAGGGAAUAUGCCGCAAUGGGCGAAAGCAUGACGGAGCAACGCCGAGUGAGUGAAGAAGGACUUCGGAUCGUAAAAAUAUGUUAUGAGGGAAGAAAAGAAGUGUAAGUAAAUGUGAACAGAGUGACGGUAACGAAAAAGAAAGCAACGGCUAACUACGUG